UAGGGAAUCUUCCACAAUGGGCGAAAGCCUGAUGGAACAACGCCGCGUGAGUGAGGAAGGCUUUCGGGUCGUAAAGCUCUGUUGCCAGGGAAGAAUAAGGGUGAGAGUAACUGCUCAUCCGAUGACGGUACCUGAGAAGAAAGCCCCGGCUAACUACGUGC
RNAcentral lists this ribosomal RNA (161 nucleotides) under uncultured bacterium. RNAcentral's name for it is "partial 16S ribosomal RNA". It matches the Rfam family "Bacterial small subunit ribosomal RNA", at positions 355 to 508 of the family's 1533-position model. The record is from RNAcentral.